Molecule: long non-coding RNA, 1883 nt
Filed under: Betula platyphylla (Asian white birch)
Lineage: Eukaryota; Viridiplantae; Streptophyta; Magnoliopsida; Fagales; Betulaceae
Source: RNAcentral
CGCGAGUCUUUAAGAAGGAAGGUUCCGUAAGAGACUAAGAGUCGGCCGCCGUGGACUCCCACCAGAGGCACCGGGAGUGCAUGAGCUCAGCCAAUGAAUGAAACUCCACGUGAUCAAAUUGUGAAACUGCGUGCGCGGCAAUAAUUAACCAUGGUUUUAGUCAAAUGCUUAUCAAUACCCACAGUCCCUCCUCAUUUUUAGUGCAGUGGCGAAGGAAGGAAGCAGUCACUCAGUGCACCGAGUCGUCUCACAGGAAUAUUGCAGGAGUUUUCAAGAGAGAGAGAUGGCUGAGGCAGACAUGGGUAGCAAAGAAAGCAGAUGGAGUCUUCAAGGAAAGACAGCUCUUGUCACGGGCGGAACAAAAGGAAUAGGGUUAGCUCUCUUUGCCUUCUCUUGCUAUCUUCAAAGUAAUUUGUCAUAGAGAUCUAUAAAAGUCAUCAAUCCAUCAUGCGCAAUAAGAACUUCUCUCUGUUUUUUUCUUUUCUUUUCUUUUUUUUCUUAAUACAAUAGUCGUUAUUUUGUGUCAAAUUUUCUGAUGAAUUUUAUGUUGGUAUAGAUUUAGGAUUGCUAGCUUCGUUCUUAACCUUCAUGAGUGCCUGCAUGUAAUUAAACUCUACGAUAAAAUUUUUCAUUAAAUUAGAGGUAUACUUUUCCAACAUAUCCACACUGGACCGGGAUCCUCGAUCUCCAUUUCAACUAGGGGAUCCAAAUUCAUCCGCACCAAGGGGUCUCAAGGCGAGCUAAUUACACUAACAACGACAUCAGUUCAGAUAUUAGCCUAUAAGAGCAUUUUCAACCUCUUAUCUAAAGCUUUUAUGAGCCAAAACUCAACCCCAACAUAUUAUCUAUUGGAAUAUACAUAAAAUAUUAUAUAUUUUUCGUUUAUUUCAUAUUUGUUGAUAUUGUAAUAUUCUCUAUUUAUGAAUUGAUUAAGAUUUAAUUACCAUACUUGUAUUUACUCUAUACCCUAUAAAUAAGAACCUUUGUAUUAUAGACAAAAAAAUGAAUGAACACAAUGUAAUCCUAAGUGCCAUUUAAAGUGAUGAACGUAGGUGUUCAUCACGGAACCAUACGUAAUUCUUUGUGUAUCUUUCUCUCCAUGCUUCCUCUAUUAUUUUCCUAUUUUAUAUUUUUCGUAUAUUCUAACAUUAACCAUCCAGUUAUUUAAACCAUAAUUUUGCUACAGUGAAAAGCAAAAGAUAAAUUAUCACAUUCAUAAAAUGUUAGCUUCUCUCGCUGUCGCUUGCCCUCUUUGUUUUCUUGGUCAACAAAUCGUCUUCGUCUUUCAUGGGAGCCAUUGUGAUCUCUCUCUCUCUCUCUUUCUCACCCAUCAUCGUUGUCUUCCAUGGAGCCACAGUCACCGCAAGCCAAUCGUCUUCCAUGAGAGCUAUCGUCAUCUCUCUCCUAUCGUCAGAUCACGGUGGUAGAUGCCCUAACUAUGGUAGAAAUCAACAAUUGAGAAGAGCUGCACACCGUUUUUUGGUUUUAGUCCUAAUUCUAGUUUUUAAUCUAUUUUUUAUAAUCUUUUUGGGAUUUUAGUUCAAUUUCAAAAACUUGUGUUGGAAAUUUUUAGACUUGGUCAUGGCGCUCCUGGGAGACAGGGAAUGAGAUGGGGUUUGGACCUUUUUUUUUUUUUUUUUUUCCUAAGAGAAUACAUCUUAUUUUAUAUGCUUUAGGAUGCAUGUGAUAGUGUUAUUUCCACACUUUUUAUGCAUAGCUCUCAUGUGUGUUAUUAAAUUUUAAUUUUAAUUCAAAAUCAAUGAUAAGAUGAAAAAUGUGCAUAACAAAUGUAGAGAGACAUGCAUGCUACUUCUCCAUUUACUAUUAAUCUUUUUCUCAAACCAACCAUUGAAUCUACUGGGUUUUAGAGAUCCAAUCGUUGC